This is a non-coding RNA of Atelerix albiventris (middle-African hedgehog), 212 nucleotides long. Lineage: Eukaryota; Metazoa; Chordata; Mammalia; Eulipotyphla; Erinaceidae. The record is from Rfam.
CCCCCACCGCUCAGAUCUGCGGUCUUCCGUGCACAAGGUAAUUGGGACUGGAUCUUAAGUCAACUUGCUGCCAGCCAGCCGGCUCGUUAAAAUACAACCGCAAAGAAAAACUCACGCUGACAGUAGUGACACCCGAGGGACCAUUCGAAGAAAAACAAAGUAUAUUUUUGCAGGAAGGGUUACGGUCUUAAGUGAUUGCAGGAAGAUGCAAC